RNAcentral lists this ribosomal RNA (206 nucleotides) under uncultured bacterium. RNAcentral's name for it is "partial 16S ribosomal RNA". It matches the Rfam family "Bacterial small subunit ribosomal RNA", at positions 568 to 773 of the family's 1533-position model. The record is from RNAcentral.
AGCGUAGGCGGACUUUUAAGUGAGAUGUGAAAUACCCGGGCUCAACUUGGGUGCUGCAUUUCAAACUGGAAGUCUAGAGUGCAGGAGAGGAGAAUGGAAUUCCUAGUGUAGCGGUGAAAUGCGUAGAGAUUAGGAAGAACACCAGUGGCGAAGGCGAUUCUCUGGACUGUAACUGACGCUGAGGCUCGAAAGCAUGGGGAGCAACA